RNAcentral lists this unclassified non-coding RNA (203 nucleotides) under uncultured fungus. Its description in RNAcentral is "sequence contains ITS1, 5.8S rRNA gene". Lineage: Eukaryota; Fungi. The record is from RNAcentral.
UUUUUAAUUUUUGUUUAUUAAACUCGGACAACAAAAUAUUCAAGAGUUUUAAUUUCCUCUGGCGGGAGUUGGAAAAGCUUAGAAAAAAGCUUACUACCCGCCAAAGCAACAAAAGUCAAGUACAACAAAGGGUUGAAAGGUUUACCCCCAAAAAAGAGGGCAUAACUCUAUUAAUGAUCCUUCCGCAGGUUCACCUACGGAAA